Molecule: small RNA, 258 nt
Filed under: Pan troglodytes (chimpanzee)
Lineage: Eukaryota; Metazoa; Chordata; Mammalia; Primates; Hominidae
Description: processed transcript
Source: RNAcentral
AUAUUUGGGUUCUUGGUCUGGACCAUGGUAGCCGCCACCCACAUAGUAUACCCCUUGCUGCAAGGAUGGGUGAUGUAUGUCUCGCUCACCUCAUUUCUCAUCUCCUUGAUGUUCCUGUUGUCUUACUUGUUUGGAUUUUACAAAAGAUUUGAAUCCUGGAGAGUUCUGGACAGCCUGUACCACGGGACCACUGGCAUCCUGUACAUGAGCGCUGCCGUCCUACAAGUACAUGCCACGAUUGUUUCUGAGAAACUGCUG